UGUACGAGCAGGUCACAGUGGUGUUCUAAA
Molecule: non-coding RNA, 30 nt
Filed under: Rattus norvegicus (Norway rat)
Lineage: Eukaryota; Metazoa; Chordata; Mammalia; Rodentia; Muridae
Source: RNAcentral